CUUGGGGCAAGAUGGCUGCGCCCACUGGCUUUGCCGGAGGUGGGGAGGAGGGGCUGUUACUCACACGUGCUGGUCUGGGUUCAGAUCAGUUCUGUUCUCUGGUCUUCCAAGGCCCUUGAUUUAUGGGGUCCCCGUGGACGGAAGCUUUCCCCCCGUCGGGUCUCCACUGAAUCAGCGGCAGGAGUCCUGGAUGAUCCCCCGGUCGUGCGGCCCCUCCCCCGCUCCUUCCCGACCCGCGCCGCAGCGAUCGCAGACUCUAGGGGAGGGAGCGAUGUUCUCUCCUACCGUUCCAGCGCCUCCGAGGGUGUAAGCAAGGUGGCAGCUACAAAAACCAGGGCACCAGGCAUGUGCACAAGCUUCUUCCAGUUUGCACCAGUGAUCUGAAUUGGGCCAGAAGGAGAAUGUGGAGAUGGUGCCUGCCAGCAUCCUUGAUCUCCAGGAAUCAUUAAAAUAUACAUCCACUCCAGUAUACCAAGAAGCUCAAUUCCACAAGACUGAGGUCUAUGCUGACUCCAUCUUCUGUUCAGAAUAUUAUUCAGCCACACCACUGUUGCUUCAUCCCAAGACAUUCAUCACCUCUUCCUUCUGAGUAUUCUUUCUGUGGCUAAUGACGAUCGUGUCAAGAGAUUGCAGUCCUGGGCUCUGCCAUCUCAGAAGAAGUCUUGCCCUGCUGAGAAGCAUCAUGGACCUGCACGUUUCGUGAUAUCAGCACAAAGGUGGCAGAUCGUUCCUGGAAUUUCACGCACAUGAUUCUCUGAGACCAGGAAAGACGUCUUACCAGCAGCAGCAGUGCAGACAGCCCUGCCAGCCGCCUCCUGUGUGCCCACCUAAAUGUCCUGGGCUGUGCCCACCACCAAGGUUCCCAGAGUCUUGUCCACUUCAUGCCCACCUGUGCAGCCACGCCCACCUGUCAGCAGAAAUGUUCACCCAAGAGCAAGUAACAGCACCAGAAUUCAUCAGGAUCAUGAAGUGACAGGAAAAGUUAUCUUUUAGACUCUGAACUCAAUCUUCCUUUUGAACUGUGUCAUGAUGACAGAUGGCAUCUUGACAUUUCCCUAACCCUCGACUUCUCACCUGCUUGAAAUGACUGUUGUCACAGAGAACACUUUGUUCCUGAAGUUGACAUCACCCUGUUGGAAGCCAUGUCCCUGCCUCCGGCAUGUGGCUAAGAUACAGUAAUGCUCAGCAAUGCCAGGGUUCCCAAAGCCUUAGAAAAAUGAGUACAAGAUCGAGACCAAUACUCUUGCAAAUGUAGCAUCACAGGCUUUCUCUUUGUUGUUUGUUAUUUGGAAAAUGAUUUCUAGCCUCUGAACAAACAUGUCUUUUCUUCUUUAAUAAAGCAC
This 1343-nucleotide long non-coding RNA is filed under the name Equus asinus (donkey). RNAcentral describes it as "lncRNA (ENSEASG00005029595.1)". Lineage: Eukaryota; Metazoa; Chordata; Mammalia; Perissodactyla; Equidae. The record is from RNAcentral.